Molecule: ribosomal RNA, 592 nt
Filed under: uncultured Sporomusa sp.
Lineage: Bacteria; Bacillati; Bacillota; Negativicutes; Selenomonadales; Sporomusaceae
Description: bacterial SSU rRNA
Rfam family: Bacterial small subunit ribosomal RNA
Source: RNAcentral
GCUACCAUGCAAGUCGAACGGAGUAUUUAGCAAUAAAUACUUAGUGGCGAACGGGUGAGUAACGCGUAGACAACCUGCCUCUAAACUGGGGACAACACCGCGAAAGUGGUGCUAAUACCGAAUGUGGUAACUUGGCUGCAUGGCUGAGUUAAGAAAGAUGGCCUCUUAGCAAUGCUAUCGUUUAGAGAUGGGUCUGCGUCUGAUUAGCUAGUUGGUGAGGUAAAGGCUCACCAAGGCGACGAUCAGUAGCCGGUCUGAGAGGAUGAACGGCCACACUGGGACUGAGACACGGCCCAGACUCCUACGGGAGGCAGCAGUGGGGAAUCUUCCGCAAUGGACGAAAGUCUGACGGAGCAACGCCGCGUGAGUGAAGAAGGUCUUCGGAUUGUAAAGCUCUGUCGUUUGGGACGAACGUGGGUUGAGUGAAUAAUUCAGCCUAAUGACGGUACCAAAGGAGGAAGCCACGGCUAACUACGUGCCAGCAGCCGCGGUAAUACGUAGGUGGCAAGCGUUGUCCGGAAUUAUUGGGCGUAAAGGGCGUGUAGGUGGAUUCUUAAGUCGUGUGUCUAAGUGCGGUGCUCAACACCGUAUG